GAUGAACGCUGGCGGCGUGCCUAAUACAUGCAAGUCGAGCGAACGGGCGAGAAGCUUGCUUCUCUGAUGUUAGGGGCGGACGGGUGAGUAACACGUGGAUAACCUACCUAUAAGACUGGUAUAACUUCGGGAAACCGGAGCUAAUACCGGAUAAGAUUUUGAACCGCAUGGUUCAAAAGUAAAAGACGGUCUUUCUGUCACUUAUAGAUGGAUCCGCGCUUCAUUAGCUAGUUGGUAAGUUAACGGCUUACCAAGGGAACGAUGCAUAGGCGAACGGAGAGGGUGAUCGCCCACACUGGAACUGAGACACGGACCAGGCUACUACGGGAGGCAGCAGUAGGGAAUGUUCCGCAAUGGGGGAAAGCCUGACGGAGCAACGCCGCGUGAGUGGUGAAGGUCUUCCGAUCGUAAAACUGUGUUAUUAGGGAAGAACAUAUGUGUAAGUAACUGUGCACAGAUUGACGGUAACUAAUCAGAAAGCAACGGCUAACUACGUG
Molecule: ribosomal RNA, 497 nt
Filed under: uncultured bacterium
Lineage: Bacteria
Description: partial 16S ribosomal RNA
Rfam family: Bacterial small subunit ribosomal RNA
Source: RNAcentral